This 492-nucleotide ribosomal RNA is filed under the name uncultured bacterium. Its description in RNAcentral is "partial 16S ribosomal RNA". It matches the Rfam family "Bacterial small subunit ribosomal RNA", at positions 29 to 507 of the family's 1533-position model. The record is from RNAcentral.
AGUGAACGCUGGCGGUAGGCCUAACACAUGCAAGUCGAACGGCAGCACAGUAAGAGCUUGCUCUUACGGGUGGCGAGUGGCGGACGGGUGAGGAAUACAUCGGAAUCUACUUUUUCGUGGGGGAUAACGUAGGGAAACUUACGAUAAUACCGCAUACGACCUACGGGUGAAAGCAGGGGAUCUUCGGACCUUGCGCGAUUGAAUGAGCCGAUGUCGGAUUAGCUAGUUUGCGGGGUAAAGGCCCACCAAGGGGACGAUCCGUAGCUGGUCCGAGAGGGUGGACAGCCACACUGGAAGUGAGACAGGGCGCAGACUCCUACGGGGGGAAGCGGUGGGGAAUAUUGGACGAUGGGCGCAAGCCUGAUCCAGCCAUACCGCGUGGGUGAAGAAGGCCUUCGGGUUGUAAAGCCCUUUUGUUGGGAAAGAAAAGCAGCAGGUUAAUACCCCGCUGUUCUGACGGUACUCAACGAGUAAGCACCGGCUAACUUCGUG